RNAcentral lists this non-coding RNA (223 nucleotides) under Myotis brandtii (Brandt's bat). RNAcentral's name for it is "Eukaryotic large subunit ribosomal RNA". It matches the Rfam family "Eukaryotic large subunit ribosomal RNA", at positions 1659 to 1881 of the family's 3401-position model. Lineage: Eukaryota; Metazoa; Chordata; Mammalia; Chiroptera; Vespertilionidae. The record is from Rfam by way of RNAcentral.
CUGGAGAAGCCAGCGGGAGCCUCAGGGAGAGUUCUCUUUUCUUUGUGAAGGGCAGGGAUCCCUGAAAUGGUUUCGCCCUGAGGAGGGGCCGUGCCUUGGAAAACGUCGCAGUUCCGGUGACGAUCGGUGAGCUUUUGCUGGCCCUUGAAAAUCCAGGGGAAAGGGUGUAAAUCUCGCGCCAGGCCCUACCCAUAUCCGCAGCAGGUCUCCAAGGUGAACAGCC